AUGGUGCUGUAAAGAUAUUAAUAACAUCUGAAACAUUUCACUUCCUCUAAUGAUGAAAAGCAAGUGAUUGAAACCAGUAUUUCUUUCACAAUUUACAUGACCAGUGCAGCAGAGCUGACAGAAUCAGUCAGCAGCCUUCUGAACGAUGGAGGAGAUUUACGCCAAUGUGGAUUGUGCCAAACUUUCCUACCCAACACCUUCAACAAAUUACACAGGUCCAAGAGGUCCAAGGGGUUUCAAUUUAGUUAUUAUUCUUUCUCUGGGUCUGCUGAGUUUUUUCCUGCUGAUUGGACUCAUCAUCCUUGGUGUCAACUACCGCGACUCCUUACGGGAUUCAGCAGCAGCGUUCUCUGCCAUCAGUAACAACCUUUCCUUCGUGACUGAGGAGAGAGACCUGCUCCAGGCGAACCUCACUGAGAAAACCAAGGAACUUGAAAGGCUUCAGAUGAUGUCUAAACAGAGUCAGUCUUUGUAUGUGCUGUUAAUAUUUAGUUAUUGAGUCUCUUUCUCUUCUCCCCUUCCCCUCACCCCCACAUAGGUCGUGGUAGAUGGCUUCCUCUCUCUUAGACGUAUUCUUCCUCUCUUCCAAAAAGAGAUUGUUUUUUUCCCAUGAGGCCCUCACACACCCAAGUUGUUGGGUCACAAUUUCCCAGACUUCAUGUGCAAACCUUUUGGUUUGGGGGUUGUCGAAACAAAAGAAAAUGACCACAUUCCUGUCGCAGGUUGGUGCUGCCUGCAAAGGAGUUUCUGAAAAUGGUCCUUCAAGCACCCCAUCCAGGGACUCCAAGACAGUUGAGGACUCUGAGCUGCUGCUUGGUGCAUAAGCUUCAACAGUAGCAAGGACCCAUUCCCCAGCCUUAAGGUCAAAGUCUACUUUAAAGCUUGAGAAAGCCUCAAGCUAUGGGUUCUGACUGCCUCUGCCAGAGACUGAUUAUAACCUGUGCUGUGCAUUUGCAGGAGGUAUUUGUAAACCUCCUGCAAAUGCUCAGACUCCUUCCCCACCAGAGAGGUGAUGCUCCAGAGAAAACAUGUCCUUCAAGAUGGAGCAUGUUCAGCUGCAGCUGUUAUCUCCUCUCUGGAAGGUCUGGUUCCUGGGAUGAAGGUAGAAAGGACUGCAGAGACAAAGGAGCAGAUCUAGCAGUGAUAGAGAGCCCUGAAGAACAGAACUACCUCAUUACACUCACCCAGAACCCAACCUGGAUUGGUUUAAAUGACAAAGAAGAAGAAGGAAAGUGGAAAUGGAUAGACGGAACUCCUCUGACUCUAAAAUACUGGGAAAGUAAUCAACCUGAUAAUGGCGCUGGAGACCCACGGUGGGGUGAAGAGGACUGUGCUCAUAUCAGAACUCCUGCUAACAAUUUUUGGAAUGAUCGUUCAUGUGGAGCUUCUCUGCUUUGGGUCUGUGAAAAAAUACCAUAAGAAACAUGAAGAUAUGUGUACCUAUUUUGCAAACUGAGUGAUCAUUGUUGUUUCAUUUUUGUUUGCUUGUUUGUUUUUUUAUUUGUUUGGGUUUUUUUUUUUUUUUAAAGAUUUUUAGAUUUAUUCUACUGAGGAUAGGUAUGCAGCUUAUAGAAAUCCAAUCAAAUCUAAACUAAAUCCAGAAGUGCCUGAAGUGCAUUGCCAUGUAAAUAAUCUGCAUACUGAAUAUGUACUUACUAAGUAACACUGUUCAAAAGUGGAAUAAAGAAACAAAUAAAUGUUUGUCUUUU
This is an RNA transcript of Oreochromis niloticus (Nile tilapia), 1709 nucleotides long. It is a transcript of the gene named CD209 antigen-like protein E, with no coding region annotated. The transcript is spliced from 6 exons. The record is from RefSeq and is a predicted model, not a curated record. NCBI's taxonomy places the organism in Eukaryota, Metazoa, Chordata, Actinopteri, Cichliformes, Cichlidae.